Rhodocollybia butyracea is the source of this 86-nucleotide non-coding RNA. The record is from the annotation of a GenBank genome assembly. Lineage: Eukaryota; Fungi; Basidiomycota; Agaricomycetes; Agaricales; Omphalotaceae.
ACUCAAAUAGUCAAGUGGUCAAGACGCCUAUACAAGGAUAAAUCUCAUCUUUCAAGGAGGCGGGGGUUUGAUUCCUUCUUUGAGGG